Prunus mume (Japanese apricot) is the source of this 354-nucleotide non-coding RNA. The record is from RefSeq and is a predicted model, not a curated record. Lineage: Eukaryota; Viridiplantae; Streptophyta; Magnoliopsida; Rosales; Rosaceae.
UUGUGUACAGAGCUAUAAUGUGUUUGAUUUUCUGAGGGACAUCGUCAGCAGGGUUCCUGACUAUGGUCAUGGUCAUUCUGAUGCAGCUGGCGAGGAUCGAGCCAUUUCAAAACGAAGGAAACCACCAGGUGAUGAAUGCAUUGACAGUGAUGAAGAGUUGAAGAGGAGCAAGAUGCUUGAGGUUAACCAUGGCAGCAGUAGCGGCAGAGGAAGAGGUCGGGGUCGAGGACGAGGCCGUGGACGUGGGCGGGCCAGUGAAAGAGAGACCCUACACCAUGAGACUGAAUCUGAACCCUGCACAUCUCUUCAGCACACCACCAAACCUAAUCCAAACCCCGGAAUGGUGGUGGAUGA